AAAAACAUGUCCUUUUGGUUUUAUUUAAGGUCUGACCUGCCCAAUGAUUUAUUUAAUGGCCGCGGUAUUUUAACUGUGCUAAGGUAGCAUAAUCAUUUGUCUUUUAAUUGAAGGCUGGUAUGAAUGGUUGGACGAGGCAUAAUCUUUCUUUAAUUUAAUUUAUGAAUUUAAUUUUUUAGUUAAAAAGCUAAAAUUUAUUUGUUGGACGAGAAGACCCUAUAGAUCUUAAUAUUUAAUUGAGUUCAAUAAUUUGGUUAAUUUAUUAUUUGGAUUUAUAUAAGUAUUUGGUUGGGGUGACUGUGGAAUUUUAAUAACUUCUGUUUUUUAUUUUCAUUUGUUUAUGUUUUAUUGAUCCAUUAUUAAUGAUUAUAAGAUUAAGUUACCUUAGGGAUAACAGCGUAAUUCUUUCGGAGAGUUCAUAUCGAUGAAAGAGUUUGCGACCUCGAUGUUGGAUUAAAAUAAGUAGUAGAUGCAGUAGUUUACUUACUAGGUCUGUUCGACCUUUUAUUUUUUACAUGAUCUGAGUUC
RNAcentral lists this ribosomal RNA (528 nucleotides) under Apiomerus cf. obesus 00001542. RNAcentral's name for it is "partial 16S ribosomal RNA". It matches the Rfam family "Bacterial large subunit ribosomal RNA", at positions 1809 to 2612 of the family's 2925-position model. The record is from RNAcentral. Lineage: Eukaryota; Metazoa; Arthropoda; Insecta; Hemiptera; Reduviidae.